Molecule: small RNA, 140 nt
Filed under: Meriones unguiculatus (Mongolian gerbil)
Lineage: Eukaryota; Metazoa; Chordata; Mammalia; Rodentia; Muridae
Description: Smith-Magenis syndrome chromosome region, candidate 2 conserved region 1 (ENSMUGG00000009419.1)
Rfam family: Smith-Magenis syndrome chromosome region, candidate 2 conserved region 1 (bases 1-119)
Source: RNAcentral
AUCUUCAUCCUCUUUUUCUGCUGGAGAUCAGAGGCCUUGCAGAAACCCAAAGGGUCUUUCCUGGCUCGGCUUCCCAAUCACUGCCUCUAUCCAGAAAUGGGCACUCCUCUUCUUUACUGCAGCUUAGGGGAAAAAGGGAC